GGUUCGAGCCUUAUGAGCCUUGAGAGCCUGAGGCACACCUUUAAUAACUAUGAUGGCAAAUGAGGAUUUCAGUUUUCAAGGCACCACAGGAAAACAUAAACUGCUUAACAGAAUAUAAGUGAAUAACAAAAAACAAUAAAAGAAUGUAAAAAUGGCUCAGAAUAAUUUGCAAAAACAAAAUCGACCAGUCUUAAAAUUUUCCAUUUCUCAGUUGAAAAGGAUGAUAUCCUUGUUUCCACUGUUCAAGGUAGUAUGUCUUGACUCAUGAUACACCAUGAAACUCCUACUCUAAUCAUCUGUCUCAUAACAUGCAACAGCAACCAUGUGCAUGCCAACAUGGUCCUUCUUUGAAAGACUUUAUUGCUUUUCAUUAUCUUACUUUAUCAGCUAAAAUGAUAACACAUAAAAAAGUGUUACAGCUCACAUAUAAAUAAUUAAACACUUGAAUGAACAAAAAAAGAAUACCACCACCAACAACUAUCAUGUAUAAAAUUAGAAGUGAGAAGUCAGGAAGUUCUCCAAUGCAUUCGAUCCUCAUUUAAAGGCCCUCAUGGAAAAAAGUUUUCAAACUUGUAGACUAAAUUACUCAGCCAGAAGAGCAAUAAAGGGAAGCAGAAAUCCAGAGAGAUCAUCUACUUUGGAAACUCAUGACAAAAGAUCGAUACAUUGAUACGCAGUUGACUAAAAGACAACAACCAAUUCAUUAAUAUUUUUUGGAAAGUUCACCCAUACAUACCCUGGAUGGAUUUGCAACAAAUAUGCGAGAAAGGAGAUGUCUGCAAUCUUGAGAAAUGUGCACAUAGUCAGGGAUCUUGUAUUGAACAGCCAUUAUUCUAUUGAUAGUUUUUCUGAAAUUCUUUGGGUCCUCUUGAUCUUCAAAUGGGUAUGCUCCGACCAACAUAACAUACAGAGUCACUCCACAAGACCAUACAUCUGCCAUCUUCCCAUCAUAUUCUCUCCUAGAAAAAACCUCUGGGGCAAUAUAUGCUGGAGUGCCAACUGUGGAUUUCGGUCUUGAAUGCAGCAAGGAUGACUUAGAAUAACCAAAAUCACAGAUUUUCACACGUGGUGCUGGGCUUCCAUCCAGCAAGGUAUUUUCUAGCUUCAAAUCUCUAUGGCAAAUUUGCAGAGCAUGGCAGUAACUGACUCCUGAAAUAAGCUGUUGAAAAAAGUAUCUAGCCUCAUCUUCGCUGAAUCUUCCAGCAUUGCAGAUUCGCUCAAAAAGCUCUCCUCCUGCAGCAUAUUCCAUAACAAUGGCGAGAUGGGUUGGUGUCAAAACCACCUCCUUGAAGCGAAUUAUGUGUGGGUGGCUAAGUGAUCUGUGAUUUAUGAUCUCCCUUGCCACAUUCUCAUCAAUCUUGUGGCCGCGCUCGAUGUACUUCAUAGCGACGAGCUCUUUGGUCUCCUUGUUCCUCAUGAGCCUGGCCACUCCAAAAUUCCCAGAUCCUAUAUCUUUCACAAGCUCGUACUUAUCCAUUUUUUACUUCUUUUAUUUCCCACAGCUAACCACAAAUAAAAAACCUAAAUUAAGCUCCAAUUAAUCUCCUAGUCAAUCCCAAUUCAGCUUCAAUUCAUAUCUCCAACCUCAAAAACCGUAUAAAGGCUACAACUUGACAAUAAUAAUUCAAUAAAAAGCAGGAAUUUUGAGUGAGAAGGGCAGGAAUCUGAGGUAAUUAAGAGAGAUUUAAGAAUGAAAAGGGAGAAGGUAGUGAUGGGUUUGGAGAGAUUUGAAGGAAAGUGAAGAACUGUGAAAUUUGAAAAGAAAGGAAAGAAUCAAACUGUGAUUGUCAUAAGAACAGAGAAUCUACAAAACUGUUAACUUUUGGGUAUUGAGAGAGAGAGAGUGUGUGUUAAUGUAUCCUUUUGCACAGAGAGGGUGAGAGAGUGUGAGAGAAUGUGUGCAAUUUG
This 1908-nucleotide unclassified non-coding RNA is filed under the name Hevea brasiliensis (rubber tree). The record is from RNAcentral. Lineage: Eukaryota; Viridiplantae; Streptophyta; Magnoliopsida; Malpighiales; Euphorbiaceae.